CUUUAGCAACACAAGUAUUAAAGGUCCCGCCUGCCCAGUGAGAUUUAUUUUUAACGGCCGCGGUAUUCUAACCGUGCAAAGGUAGCGUAAUCACUUGUCUUCUAAAUAAAGACUAGUAUGAACGGCUAAAUGAGGGUAAGACUGUCUCUUAUAAUUAAUCAGUGAAACUGACCUUCCAGUACAAACGCUGGAAUAAAUACAUAAGACGAGAAGACCCCGUGGAGCUUAAAAUAAACCACUAAUACAUUAUACCCUAGUGUACUGUUUUCAGUUGGGGCGACUUCGGAAUAAAACAAAACUUCCGAGCACAGAACCACCACUUCCUACUAAGGCCAACAAGCCCAAGUACAACCUGACCCGGCUCCCUUGCCGAUCAACGAACCAAGUUACCCCAGGGAUAACAGCGCUAUCUUCUUCAAGAGUCCCUAUCAACAAGAAGGUUUACGACCUCGAUGUUGGAUCAGGACACCCAAAUGGUGCAGCCGCUAUUAAAGGUUCGUUUGUUCAACGAUUAACAGUCCUACGUGAUCUGAGUUCAGACCGGAGAAAUCCAGGUCGGUUU
RNAcentral lists this ribosomal RNA (562 nucleotides) under Trachylepis affinis (Senegal mabuya). Its description in RNAcentral is "partial 16S ribosomal RNA". It matches the Rfam family "Bacterial large subunit ribosomal RNA", at positions 1820 to 2637 of the family's 2925-position model. Lineage: Eukaryota; Metazoa; Chordata; Lepidosauria; Squamata; Scincidae. The record is from RNAcentral.